ACUACACACACUUCCUUUAUUUCAGGGACUACAGCAGUCUGAUGGUCAUCACACAAUAAUUCUGUCAUUUUUACACAUUAUUCUUUCUGUGCUGUAGUCAAAUCAAAUCAGUCCACAGCUUCAAAUCAUCCAAUCAGGUGUGAGUCUGGACCUGGUUUUCUACUGAACACACAAGUUCAUUAGAUCACCUGGUGUGAACAGGAACGAUGAUCAGACUCUUUGUCGCUCUUUGUGCUCUUUUUUCUCUCUUCACAGCUGUGAAAACUUCUCACAUCAAGGAGAUUGACAUGAUAACAGUAAAGCGUGGAGAAGAUGUAACUAUGAAGUGUAGCAUUAGCAGUGUCAAAAAGAAAGAAGUAGGUUGGUACAGACAGAUUUCAGGAAAAUUACCUCAGUAUAUUGCAAAACCAUACAAGAGCGAUUUGAGCUACAAAUUUGUUGAUGGAUUUAAUGAUGAUCGUUUCAGUAUUAGUGUAAAUGACAAUAAAUUUGAUCUCAAUAUUAAAAAAACAAGAGAAGAUGAUGAAGGAGAAUAUUUCUGUGGAGAAAUGGAAGUUAAUGAAAUGAAGUUCACAUCUGGAACACGUCUGCAAUUUAAAGACACGACACACCGUCUAACAUCUGGAACAACACACAGAGAGUUAUCCAGCAGCAGAGAAACAAAUAAAGAGAUGACACGCAGUAAUACAUCUGGAACUACACACGGAGUUUCAGCCAUCUGCAAUGAAACAAGUGAAAGCUGUACUGCUAACAUGCGUGUGUUCUUCUGGCUCUCCAUUUCAAGAAUUGGAGUUCUCAGUGUUACAGUUAUUAUAAUUACAAUAUGGUACAAGGUUUUAAAAUGAAUAUCUUAAACUUGAUAUAAUUGUCUUUUAACUGUUGUGUGUGUCGCUCUAACUGUAUUUUCCAGUAUGACUUUUUUUUUAUUUUUUAUUUCAGUCCUGUGUGUGUGUGUGUGUGUGUGUGUGUGUGUGUGUGUGUGUGUGUGUGUGUGUGUGUGUGUGUGUGUGUGUGUGUGUGUUCAUUUACAUUUAUCCAGAAAACUGGAUUAAAAACUAAUGUCUGAACUGAUAUUGUUCAGGGUUUGCUUUGAUUCUGCUGAACCUGAAGUAUUUCAUGAAAAAUGCAAUAAAAUUAGACUUUAAUAAGA
Tachysurus fulvidraco (yellow catfish) is the source of this 1150-nucleotide non-coding RNA. The record is from the annotation of a RefSeq genome assembly. Lineage: Eukaryota; Metazoa; Chordata; Actinopteri; Siluriformes; Bagridae.